Long non-coding RNA from Strongylocentrotus purpuratus (purple sea urchin), 296 nucleotides. RefSeq lists it as uncharacterized. NCBI's taxonomy places the organism in Eukaryota, Metazoa, Echinodermata, Echinoidea, Camarodonta, Strongylocentrotidae. The transcript has 4 exons. The record is from RefSeq and is a predicted model, not a curated record.
UUUCGCAGGUGGUCCAGCCGUGAUACUCAUCAUAACUGGAGCCGUGAAGCAUCAAAGCUAUGGCUAUGAACAAAGUUGCUGGCUGAAUCCAAGAGAUGGGACAAUCUGGGCAUUCACCGGCCCGGCUAUAGCAAUCGUACUCGUCAACGUAGUUAUUCUCCUACUGGUUGUAAAGACAGUUGUGUCUGCAUCUCGAGGUCAACUUAACAACGAUAAGAUUAAGCAAAUCAAAGCUGGACUUCGGAGCACUUUGUUGCUCUUCCCCCUGCUUGGUAUCGCUUGGUUAUUGACACCUG